RNAcentral lists this small RNA (591 nucleotides) under Arabidopsis thaliana (thale cress). Its description in RNAcentral is "putative long intergenic non-coding RNA". Lineage: Eukaryota; Viridiplantae; Streptophyta; Magnoliopsida; Brassicales; Brassicaceae. The record is from RNAcentral.
GAUCACGAGCUUCAUCUCCUUCAUUUAAACAUUCAAAUCUCAAACCAAACCUACACCACCACCAAAUAUCACUCUUCCUUCUCCAACAAUCUCCCAAAGGCGAAGAAAUGAUCUCGCUAUCGAAUCAAUGGCGGUCGAAGAAUCUUCUUCAACCGCUUUUUCACUUUCCUCUGAGCUUGCUUCCGUGAUUUUCCCCUCGCUUGCUUACUCCAACACACUCUCUUCAGUUCUGGAUACAAUGUGCAAGUGUUUGUUGAAGAUAAUGAGUCAGAGGAGAGGCUUGUGAAUCGAUUUAGGAGAGAAGUGAUGAGAACUGGUGUUAUACAGGAAUGUAAGCGAAGGAGAUACUUUGAGAAUCAAAAAGAUGAGAAGAAACGUCGAGGACCAUUUAUCAUCUUGAAGGAUCCGCAAAAUUUUAUUUCGGGUCGGGUUUAGUCGCGGUUCGGGUCGGCUGUGAUGAUGACCGGAAUUGUCUAUUUUACCUUUACUUUUUUUUUGUUUGAUUUUUUGUUAUAAUGUGUUUUUAAAAAAUGGCUCAAACGGCUUGUAAUUUGGAUGUCCCUGAUUCUCUCUUAAUAGUAUAGAUUUUAG